Molecule: transfer RNA, 77 nt
Filed under: Microvirga sp.
Lineage: Bacteria; Pseudomonadati; Pseudomonadota; Alphaproteobacteria; Hyphomicrobiales; Methylobacteriaceae
Also listed under: 4 other names
Description: tRNA-Pro
Rfam family: tRNA
About the family: Transfer RNA (tRNA) molecules are approximately 80 nucleotides in length. Their secondary structure includes four short double-helical elements and three loops (D, anti-codon, and T loops).
Source: RNAcentral
CGGAGUAUAGCUCAGCCUGGUAGAGCGCUUGCUUCGGGAGCAAGAGGUCGUUGGUUCGAAUCCAGCUACUCCGACCA